This is a non-coding RNA of Trichonephila clavata, 69 nucleotides long. The record is from the annotation of a GenBank genome assembly. Lineage: Eukaryota; Metazoa; Arthropoda; Arachnida; Araneae; Nephilidae.
UUGUAGCGCAAUGGAUAUCGCGUUGGACUUCUAAUCCAAAGGUUGUAGGUUCGAAGCCUAUCCGCGAAA